GGGCCCUCUCGCACACUACCAGGGAGAUGCGUUCCUGCUGUACAGGUGGUGGGAUGCUGCACUCCGGACCAGGCUGUGUGCAAGCAGCGCUUUGAGGGUAGGUGAGGAUGCACAGAGGAGCUGGGUGGCCCGUCCAGCUGUGCUGAAAUGAUGUGAGCCAGUGCAGCAGUAUGCAGGGCAGAGCUGGGGUAACCAAGGAGGAGACUCUUUGAAGAUGACAAAGGCAGAAACCUCACCACCAUCCAACAGGGACGUGCCUGUGAGGAUGUGAGGAAGACAUUGCAGUCAGAGGUUGCACAAGUCACUGCCCCAAACUAGGCUCAGCUUUCUGGGCUGGUGCUCGCCUGUUCCAGCUGAGCGGCUGCCUACCUUUCCACAGGGAAGGCGUGAUGGAUCGGUGGAUCACCUGGAGAACCCCGGCAUCCUGGCUGCGAACAUUUGCCUAAUAGAUGCCUCGGAAACGCAUCCUGGGAGCCAUGCCUCUCUCCUGAGCAGAAGUUGUUUCUCUCCAGUAAGUAUGUAAAUCCAGCACAUUCCCAAGUUCAGGAGGUUUCUGUCAGGCUCCAGAGGUUGCACACUGCCACAGGGGCUGGGAGACCCCAGGCUAAACUCGGGUGCAUCAUGAUAGGAGCAGCAUCGGGUGAAAUAACUAUUCUACAGCACUUGCUUGUAUUACAUGGUAACUUUUUUUAAACAAUCUGUAUCAUGCCAUGAAUAUUAUUAAA
Falco peregrinus (peregrine falcon) is the source of this 725-nucleotide long non-coding RNA. RefSeq lists it as uncharacterized. NCBI's taxonomy places the organism in Eukaryota, Metazoa, Chordata, Aves, Falconiformes, Falconidae. The record is from RefSeq and is a predicted model, not a curated record. The transcript is spliced from 3 exons.